This 501-nucleotide ribosomal RNA is filed under the name uncultured bacterium. RNAcentral's name for it is "partial 16S ribosomal RNA". It matches the Rfam family "Bacterial small subunit ribosomal RNA", at positions 30 to 523 of the family's 1533-position model. The record is from RNAcentral.
AUUGAACGCUGGCGGCAGGCUUAACACAUGCAAGUCGAGCGGGGGAAGGUAGCUUGCUACCGGACCUAGCGGCGGACGGGUGAGUAAUGCUUAGGAAUCUGCCUAUUAGUGGGGGACGACAUCUCGAAAGGGAUGCUAAUACCGCAUACGUCCUACGGGAGAAAGCAGGGGAUCUUCGGACCUUGCGCUAAUAGAUGAGCCUAUGUCAGAUUAGCUAGUUGGUGGGGUAAAGGCCUACCAAGGCGACGAUCUGUAGCGGGUCUGAGAGGAUGAUCCGCCACGCUGGGACUGAGACACGGCCCAGACUCCUACGGGAGGCAGCAGUGGGGAAUAUUGGACAAUGGGGGGAACCCUGAUCCAGCCAUGCCGCGUGUGUGAAGAAGGCCUUAUGGUUGUAAAGCACUUUAAGCGAGGAGGAGGCUACUUUAGUUAAUACCUAGAGAUAGUGGACGUUACUCGCAGAAUAAGCACCGGCUAACUCUGUGCCAGCAGCCGCGGUAA